Molecule: long non-coding RNA, 201 nt
Filed under: Helianthus annuus (common sunflower)
Lineage: Eukaryota; Viridiplantae; Streptophyta; Magnoliopsida; Asterales; Asteraceae
Description: sRNA HanXRQr2_Chr10g0464201
Source: RNAcentral
UUGUUUACGCUAAGUUUAUGUGUAAUUUGAGUUUGGUGUUAUGUAGAUGUGGGGUUAUAUUGGUUGUAAAGACUCCGAUUAGCUCUGAUUAGUCGUCAAUUAUUCACUAAUCGGAGGUUCACCAAUUAUUGUUUGAUUAAUCGCUAGGCGGUCAAUGAUUGUCCUAUUAUGGCCAAAUUUUGGCUAGAUGUCGGCCAAAUU